GUGCCAGCCGCCGCGGUAAUACGUAGGGGGCGAGCGUUGUCCGGAAUCACUGGGCGUAAAGGGCGCGUAGGCGGUCAGGUAAGUCAGAUGUGAAAGACCGAGGCUCAACCUUGGGGUUGCAUUUGAAACUGCCUGACUUGAGUGCAGGAGAGGGAAGUGGAAUUCCCAGUGUAGCGGUGAUAUGCGUAGAUAUUAGGAGGAACACCAGUGGCGAAGGCGGCUUUCUGGGCUGCAACUGACGCUGAGGCGCGAAAGCUGGGGGAGCGAACGGGAUUAGAUACCCCGGUAGUCCUAGCCGUAAACGAUGGGUGCUAGGUGUUGGGGGGUAAAGACCCUUCAGUGCCGAAGCUAACGCGAUAAGCAUCCCACCUGGGGAGUACGGCCGCAAGGUUGAAACUCAAAUAAAUUGACGG
RNAcentral lists this ribosomal RNA (413 nucleotides) under uncultured bacterium. RNAcentral's name for it is "bacterial SSU rRNA". It matches the Rfam family "Bacterial small subunit ribosomal RNA", at positions 505 to 916 of the family's 1533-position model. The record is from RNAcentral.